CGGUAAUACGGAGGAUCCAAGCGUUAUCCGGAUUUAUUGGGUUUAAAGGGUGCGUAGGCGGUCCUAUAAGUCAGUGGUGAAAGACGGCAGCUUAACUGUCGCAGUGCCUUUGAUACUGUAGGACUUGAAUCUAUUUGAAGUGGGCGGAAUAAGACAAGUAGCGGUGAAAUGCAUAGAUAUGUCUUAGAACUCCGAUUGCGAAGGCAGCUCACUAAGUUAGUAUUGACGCUGAUGCACGAAAGCGUGGGGAUCAAACAGGAUUAGAUACCCUGGUAGUCCACGCCCUAAACGAUGAUAACUCGAUGUUUGCGAUACACAGUAAGCGUCCAAGCGAAAGCGUUAAGUUAUCCACCUGGGGAGUACGGUCGCAAGAUUGAAACUCAAAGGAAUUGACGGGGGCCCGCACAAGCGGAGGAGCAUGUGGUUUAAUUCGAUGAUACGCGAGGAACCUUACCCGGGCUUGAAAGUUAGUGAAUGAUCCAGAGACGGAUCAGUCCUUCGGGACACGAAACUAGGUGCUGCAUGGCUGUCGUCAGCUCGUGCCGUGAGGUGUUGGGUUAAGUCCCGCAACGAGCGCAACCCCUAUGUUUAGUUGCCAGCACAUAAUGGUGGGGACUCUAAACAGACUGCCAGCGUAAGCUGUGAGGAAGGUGGGGACGACGUCAAGUCAUCAUGGCCCUUACGUCCGGGGCUACACACGUGCUACAAUGGACGGUACAGCGGGCAGCUACAUAGCAAUAUGAUGCUAAUCUCUAAAAGCCGUUCACAGUUCGGAUUGAGGUCUGCAACUCGACCUCAUGAAGUUGGAUUCGCUAGUAAUCGCGUAUCAGCAAUGACGCGGUGAAUACGUUCCCGGG
This 857-nucleotide ribosomal RNA is filed under the name uncultured bacterium. RNAcentral describes it as "bacterial SSU rRNA". It matches the Rfam family "Bacterial small subunit ribosomal RNA", at positions 518 to 1378 of the family's 1533-position model. The record is from RNAcentral.